RNAcentral lists this ribosomal RNA (209 nucleotides) under Escherichia coli IS1. Its description in RNAcentral is "Large Subunit Ribosomal RNA; lsuRNA; LSU rRNA". It matches the Rfam family "Bacterial large subunit ribosomal RNA", at positions 2742 to 2925 of the family's 2925-position model. The record is from RNAcentral. Lineage: Bacteria; Pseudomonadati; Pseudomonadota; Gammaproteobacteria; Enterobacterales; Enterobacteriaceae.
CCGGUAGCUAAAUGCGGAAGAGAUAAGUGCUGAAAGCAUCUAAGCACGAAACUUGCCCCGAGAUGAGUUCUCCCUGACUCCCUGAGAGUCCUGAAGGAACGUUGAAGACGACGACGUUGAUAGGCCGGGUGUGUAAGCGCAGCGAUGCGUUGAGCUAACCGGUACUAAUGAACCGUGAGGCUUAACCUUACAACGCCGAAGCUGUUUUG